GGCACACCCCGAGCGCUGGACCAAGUACAGCCUGGAAGAUGUGACCGAGGUCUCCCGCCAGUGGAGACUGUUGGCUUCCAUGGCAGCAGGAAGCGGAGUCGAGACCACUUCCGGAACAAGGGCAGCAGCCCCGAGGACCCAGGUGCUGAGGUCUGAGAGGGAGAUGGCCCAGCCUGACCACACUGGCCACUGCCAUCCUGCUGCCUUCCCAGUGGGGCUGGUCAAGGGGCAGCCUGGCCACUGCCUAGCUGGAAUGGGAGGAAGCCUGCAGGCUGCCUGUAGGUGGCACCGGCGGCCCUGGCUGCAGCUCUGGGCGGCGUCCUCCCGAGCAGAGAUCUUGCUGAAGCUCCUGGGGUGUGGGCUGGAAGCACUGGCUCCCUGGUAGGGACAAUAAAGGUUUUGGGUCUUUUUGA
RNAcentral lists this small RNA (413 nucleotides) under Pongo abelii (Sumatran orangutan). RNAcentral's name for it is "processed transcript". The record is from RNAcentral. Lineage: Eukaryota; Metazoa; Chordata; Mammalia; Primates; Hominidae.